This 177-nucleotide non-coding RNA is filed under the name Nitrospirota bacterium. RNAcentral's name for it is "Nitrospirae bacterium (hot springs metagenome) 6S RNA". It matches the Rfam family "6S / SsrS RNA". From Rfam's summary of the family: E. coli 6S RNA was the first non coding RNA to be sequenced, but its function was unknown until recently. It consists of 184 nucleotides that fold into an extended hairpin structure with a large single-stranded internal bulge. The 6S RNA specifically associates with RNA polymerase holoenzyme containing the sigma70 specificity factor. Lineage: Bacteria; Pseudomonadati; Nitrospirota. The record is from RNAcentral.
AAUAUUGCGAUUCCCGUUACGGAAGUUACCUGAGGAUCAAGCAAUAAGUAAAGGGAGCGGGAGUCAGAUGCGGUGUGCAGGCCUCCAGAAGCGAGGAGGAAGCCUAAAGCAUCUGCCGAAGCACCCACUUAAACAAAAGAGCUCAUGGUAUUCCGAAGACGGGAACGCAAAAUAUAU